UGUAGGAGGAAGUGGAGAGGACUCAGGGACAGGUAUCAGAGAGAGAGAAGGGCAGAGAAAGAGAAGAGGUCUGGAUCCAUUUAUUGUGCCUAUGGCAACGAGUGGCAAUUUUAAAGCCAGACCCCUUACAUCAUCCACAAGUGUGGGCGCCACCAGUGCAUCAAGAUCCUCUACGUGAUUUACAAGUGAGACCACCGCCUCCACCGGUGCAGCAUGACCCUCUAUGUCAUCUACUAGUGCGACCAUCACCGGUGCAGCGAGACCCUCUACAACAUCUACAUCAUCCACAAGUAUGACCACCACCGGUGCAGCCAUGGAAGAUGAUGAAAUGGAGGAAGCACCUCUGGAUCUAUGACCACCUGAGAUUAUUAUGACCCUCACGGAAGUGACCACUGAGGACCUUGUUGAACAGGAUGUGGCCGUGGAGACAAACGAGGAGAGCAAUGAGGAGAGAAACAUGGAGAGAAACGAAGAGGAACAACGUCACAGCAGGCGCCAUCGGCAGUACCAGCCCCCAGAUCCACUCAACUAAUUUCAGCAGAGGCUCCUCCAAGCCGUCGAGAGGGAUGCAACCAAUCCUGAUGCUCACAGGAAGGAGGAUGAAGAGACCCUCUUUGCCAUGAGCCUGGUGCCAACCCUGAAGAGGCUGCCUCAGCAAAGAAAAGCAGCAGUCAAGGUUAAAAUUCAUCAGCUGCUUUUCGAUGCCAAGUUCAAUGAGAUGGAGUCAAUUUAGCCGACAAGCUCACAGAAAGGACUGGAAGAGGAGUUGUCUACUUUUUGUUUUGACCUUCUCCUCCAAUGGGAUUUUCCAACUGUCCAAAAUUGAGAUUUUCCAACUGUCCUUAUUCCACUUACUAUGUCUUUGUUAGUAGUUUCUCAAUACUUAGGAUAGCAUUCAUUAUUAGUUGUACAUAGAUUGCAUGAAAAUUGAGUGAAUUGAAACUGACACACGAGAGAAUUCAGAUGCUCUUGUUUUUCUUUUACAAGACUAAAGGUGAAAUGCGUGUUUACCUGUAUUGUGGCUACACAUUCAUUUGUAGUUUUUUCAGACGCAUACCUCUCCUCCAC
This 1068-nucleotide long non-coding RNA is filed under the name Salmo salar (Atlantic salmon). RNAcentral describes it as "lncRNA (ENSSSAG00000117967.1)". The record is from RNAcentral. Lineage: Eukaryota; Metazoa; Chordata; Actinopteri; Salmoniformes; Salmonidae.